This is a non-coding RNA of Myotis lucifugus (little brown bat), 73 nucleotides long. Lineage: Eukaryota; Metazoa; Chordata; Mammalia; Chiroptera; Vespertilionidae. The record is from Rfam.
GCUGGUUUGGCUCAGUGGAUAGAGCAUUUGGCUGCGGACCAAAGGGUCCCAGGUUCAAUUCCAGUCAAGGGCA